CAAACUUAGAGCGAAAAUAGCGAGGGUGGUCAGGAGUAAACAUUUUCCCACCGUCUUUGGGCAUCGGAGGGUGAUGGCGCCGUCCUGCCCAGGGAUGUUCACCUGCAUUGGGGCCCACAGAAUGCCCGUGGAGGCGGGACCAAUUGUUGAGGGGCGGACUUCCCCCACUUGCAGUCUGGAGUCGGGGGUCGCCAAGUGGUGCAGUGGCAUGUUGCGGACAUACAAACAUGCAGCUGGCGGCGCGGAUGAGGUGCUGCGGGUGGUGCGGUCUGUGGGGCGCAGCCCAGGAGAGAUGUUGUCCACGUAUGAUUUUGGAGGCCUGCACC
Molecule: long non-coding RNA, 326 nt
Filed under: Androctonus crassicauda
Lineage: Eukaryota; Metazoa; Arthropoda; Arachnida; Scorpiones; Buthidae
Source: RNAcentral